UAAUACGUAGGGACCAAGCGUUGUUCGGAUUUACUGGGCGUAAAGGGCGCGUAGGCGGCAAUUCAAGUCAUCUGUGAAAUCUCCGGGCUUAACUCGGAACGGUCAGAUGAUACUGCUUUGCUAGAGUGCGGAAGGGGCAAUCGGAAUUCUUGGUGUAGCGGUGAAAUGCGUAGAUAUCAAGAGGAACACCUGAGGUGAAGACGGGUUGCUGGGCCGACACUGACGCUGAAGCGCGAAAGCCAGGGGAGCAAACGGGAUUAGAUACCCCGGUAGUCCUGGCCCUAAACGAUGAAUACUUGGUGUCUGGAGUCUUUAAUGCUCCGGGUGCCGUCGCUAACGUUUUUAGUAUUCCGCCUGGGGAGUACGCUCGCAAGAGUG
RNAcentral lists this ribosomal RNA (378 nucleotides) under uncultured bacterium. RNAcentral describes it as "bacterial SSU rRNA". It matches the Rfam family "Bacterial small subunit ribosomal RNA", at positions 521 to 896 of the family's 1533-position model. The record is from RNAcentral.